UGGGGAAUAUUGGGCAAUGGGGGCAACCCUGACCCAGCAACGCCGCGUGAAGGAAGAAGGCUUUCGGGUUGUAAACUUCUUUGACGAGGGACGAAGGACGUGACGGUACCUCGAAAACAAGCCACGGCUAACUACGUGCCAGCAGCCGCGGUAAUACGUAGGUGGCAAGCGUUGUCCGGAUUUACUGGGUGUAAAGGGCGCGUAGGCGGGAUUGCAAGUCAGAUGUGAAAUGCAGGGGCUCAACCCCUGAGCUGCAUUUGAAACUGUAAUUCUUGAGUAUCGGAGAGGCAGGCGGAAUUCCUAGUGUAGCGGUGAAAUGCGUAGAUAUUAGGAGGAACACCAGUGGCGAAGGCGGCCUGCUGGACGACAACUGACGCUGAGGCGCGAAAGCGUGGGGAGCAAACAGG
Molecule: ribosomal RNA, 407 nt
Filed under: uncultured bacterium
Lineage: Bacteria
Description: bacterial SSU rRNA
Rfam family: Bacterial small subunit ribosomal RNA
Source: RNAcentral